GCAUCAAUAGGGUAGUGGUAACCUGGGUCGUUGCCAUUAUACACACUAUUCUCAUUCAGCUGUUUCGACCCGCCGGGGGUUCAAUUCCCUCUUGAUGCA
This is a non-coding RNA of Crucibulum laeve, 99 nucleotides long. NCBI's taxonomy places the organism in Eukaryota, Fungi, Basidiomycota, Agaricomycetes, Agaricales, Nidulariaceae. The record is from the annotation of a GenBank genome assembly.